GAUUCUGUUGCUCUACAGUGUGGCGGCUACUGUUGUGCUGUUUAUGUAUUGCAAGGCUUUGCAGGGGGAGCUUGCCUUUGAGAUUGCGGAGGAGUUCGCGCAGGAGUAUAUCCGGCUGCCUUUCGAUGAUGGGAAGCUUUCCCACGUUGUCUACGUCGUGUAGCUGAGGUUCUUGAACCGGGCAGCGCUGAAGAGACUAGAAGAGUUUGGAACAGAAGGUUCCAUGAUAAGUCCAUGGAAAAGAUGUUGCUAUUCUUGUCCCUGGUGAUGUAGUUUGUAUAAAAUUGGGCGAAAUUAAGAAGCUGGUACUUGUAUGGUGGGAGAAUUGGUAGACAGAAAUGUAUGUGAUAUUUACUACAUGCGCAUGUAGUAAAACAUGUAUUAACAGGCAACUUGUGUAGCUCGAAUUGUUGGAUGUUAUGUUAUAUAUGCUAAUAUUAUCUUGUCAAUGUUAUUUUAUUA
This is a long non-coding RNA of Salvia miltiorrhiza (redroot sage), 462 nucleotides long. RefSeq lists it as uncharacterized. The transcript is spliced from 2 exons. The record is from RefSeq and is a predicted model, not a curated record. Lineage: Eukaryota; Viridiplantae; Streptophyta; Magnoliopsida; Lamiales; Lamiaceae.